UACCGUACCCGUACCGUAAACCGACACAGGUGGAUGAGGAGAGAAUCCUAAGGCCGGCGGAAGAAGCAUUGUCAAGGAACUCGGCAAAAUGGCCCCGUAACUUAGGGAUAAGGGGUGCCUGGGAAACCAGGCCGCAGAGAAUAGGCUCAAGCAACUGUUUAGCAAAAACACAGGUCUAUGCGAAACCGAAAGGUGAGGUAUAUGGGCUGACGCCUGCCCGGUGCUGGAAGGUUAAGAGGAGAGGUUAGCGGUAACGCGAAGCUUUGAAUUUAAGCCCCAGUAAACGGCGGCCGUAACAAUAACGGUCCUAAGGUAGCGAAAUUCCUUGUCGGGUAAGUUCCGACCCGCACGAAAGGCGUAAUGAUUUGAGCGCUGUCUCGACAAUGCAUCCGGUGAAAUUGAAGUACCAGUGAAGAUGCUGGUUACCUGCGCCAGGACGGAAAGACCCCAUGGAGCUUUACUCCAGUCUGGUACUGGGACUCGGUAUUGCAUGUACAGGAUAGGUGGGAGGCUGAGAAAUGGUAACGCCAGUUGCCAUGGAGCCGCUGUUGGGAUACCACCCUUGCAGUAUUGGGUUUCUAACCAGCCGCCGUGAUCCGGCGGUGGGACAAUGCCAGACGGGGAGUUUGACUGGGGCGGUCGCCUCCGAAAGGGUAUCGGAGGCGCCCAAAGGUUCCCUCAGAAUGGACGGAAACCAUUCGAAGAGUGCAAAGGCAGAAGGGAGCUUGACUGCGACACCGACGGGUGGAGCAGGUACGAAAGUAGGGCUUAGUGAUCCGGUGGUAUUAAGUGGGAAUGCCAUCGCUCAACGGAUAAAAGCUACCCUGGGUUAACAGGCUUAUCACUCCCAAGAGUUCACAUCGACGGAGUGGUUUGGCACCUCGAUGUCGGCUCAUCGCAUCCUGGGGCUGUAGUAGGUCCCAAGGGUUGGGCUGUUCGCCCAUUAAAGCGGUACGCGAGCUGGGUUCAGAACGUCGUGAGACAGUUCGGUCCCUAUCCGGCGUGGGCGUAGGAUAUCUGAGAGGAGCUGUCCUUAGUACGAGAGGACCGGGAUGGACGGGCCGCUGGUGCAUCGGUUAGACUGCCAAGUCUACGGCCGAGUAGCCAAGCCCGGAAGGGAUAAACGCUGAAGGCAUCUAAGCGUGAAGCCCCCCUUAAGAUGAGAUAUCCCAUUCGAAAGAAGUAAACCCCCUUGAAGACGACGAGGUAGAUAGGGCAGAGGUGGAAGUGCAGCAAUGCAUGGAGCUGACUGUUACUAAUCGGGUGAGGGCUUGACC
This 1277-nucleotide ribosomal RNA is filed under the name metagenome. RNAcentral describes it as "bacterial LSU rRNA". It matches the Rfam family "Bacterial large subunit ribosomal RNA", at positions 1634 to 2925 of the family's 2925-position model. The record is from RNAcentral.